Molecule: long non-coding RNA, 1416 nt
Filed under: Homo sapiens (human)
Lineage: Eukaryota; Metazoa; Chordata; Mammalia; Primates; Hominidae
Description: HSALNT0280132
Source: RNAcentral
CUGACCUCUUUUUCUGUUUUCUUAUCUCUCAUUCUGGACAAUAAACUUAAAGUUAAGGACUGUGUCUAGUUUAUUGUAAUGUAACCCCAAAGUAGCAUUUAGAACACUUUAGGUGAGCAAUAAUUGUGUGUGGUUGAAUUGGAUGCCUUUUUUCAUCACCGUUGCAAGAACUUAAUUCAAAUAAAAUGAAAUAAAAAUUGAAUUCUGAUGAGAAGCCUGACAUUGGAUAUUCUGACUGUCCUGAAUACUGGAAUAGGCAUCAAGCCUUCUACACUCUGUCUGGAUUCUGUAACUAACUUGCUCAGAAUGACCUUAGAUUAACCACUUAAUGUUUUAAAAUUUCAUGACUUUAUUUUAGAAACUUGCCUGCCCCUACCUUGGCAUAUUAUCAAGAUCAAACAGAAUAGUGGUAUUAUCAAGAUCAAACAGACAAAAAGGCACAAACUGCUACGUAAGAGCAAUUUAUGGUUAUGAUUUUGCUUUGAACAAAAUGGUGAAUUGCUUUUUUUGUGAGUUAAGACUCUUAGAAACCUCUCUUCAUGCUGAUGGAGCAGGAAUAGAGGGCAAGCCUUAAUACCUUUUUAUGAUCUGGAUAGUACCUAUAGGAAUUCAAUCUCUUCUGUCCAACUGAUGCUUGUAAUUCAUGGCUAAGUAUUCAAAAGAGAACAGGCUCCCUCUGUUAUCUACCUGGCAGGAGCUGUUUGUGUAGGAACCUGAGGUUUAAAAGCCUUUGAAACUAUUACUGAUUAAAUUAGCAAAAGAAAUGCCUUUGUCCCUGAGGUCACCUGGUUUUCAAUCAAUCUUAAUAUAUAUGCUGACAUUCUUGGGUCUCAUUACCCACAACAAAGAAUCCAUAAGAUUGCUGAUCUUCAGGAAGGCCAAGGCUAGCUUGUAGGGUCCCAUUUAUUACAAUCCCUUGACAGGUGGAAAGAAUCUUACAAUACCUCUGUCUGAUGCAGGGGCUUCAUUAAUGUCUGUGUUAUUCUAUUUUAUAAUGCUUAAUGCUAUGCUUCCAUUAUGAGGUUUCUCAAUGUGAUAUCUGAAAACAAAUAAUGCAUUCAUGACUCAAUUAAUGAACAUUGGAUUUGACCAGUACAUAAAAAUACAUGGAUACCCACUGUUUCCUUUCCCCUCCUCUCUCCAAUGCCAAGAAGCAGCUAAAACUCAUCUGAUUUGUUUGGUCUUUGGUGUCUAAUGUGGAGCAGUGUCUAAUGUGAGGUUUCUUGGCCCAUCUUCCUCCUUCUUUCCAAUCCACCUUGCCUUUCCCUUCCCACCCAAUUAACUCUUCUUGCAGCCCAGUUAACUAUAGACAUUUGCUUCUCAUAUGCAUCCUUUCCAAUCACAUUCUCUUCUUCAUUCUUUUUCAUUUCCAACUCCCUUCUGGUGACCUUUAAUAAAAAACCUUUAUUUGUGCAC